This 460-nucleotide ribosomal RNA is filed under the name uncultured bacterium. RNAcentral's name for it is "partial 16S ribosomal RNA". It matches the Rfam family "Bacterial small subunit ribosomal RNA", at positions 338 to 795 of the family's 1533-position model. The record is from RNAcentral.
CCUACGGGAGGCAGCAGUGAGGAAUAUUGGUCAAUGGACGAGAGUCUGAACCAGCCAAGUAGCGUGAAGGAUGACUGCCCUAUGGGUUGUAAACUUCUUUUAUAUGGGAAUAAAACGUUCCACGUGUGGGAUUUUGUAUGUACCAUAUGAAUAAGGAUCGGCUAACUCCGUGCCAGCAGCCGCGGUAAUACGGAGGAUCCGAGCGUUAUCCGGAUUUAUUGGGUUUAAAGGGAGCGUAGGUGGAUUGUUAAGUCAGUUGUGAAAGUUUGCGGCUCAACCGUAAAAUUGCAGUUGAAACUGGCAGUCUUGAGUACAGUAGAGGUGGGCGGAAUUCGUGGUGUAGCGGUGAAAUGCUUAGAUAUCACGAAGAACUCUGAUUGCGAAGGCAGUUCACUGGACUGCAACUGACACUGAGGCUCGAAAGUGUGGGUAUCAAACAGGAUUAGAUACCCUUGUAGUC